RNAcentral lists this ribosomal RNA (527 nucleotides) under Duttaphrynus parietalis (timber forest toad). RNAcentral describes it as "partial large subunit ribosomal RNA". It matches the Rfam family "Bacterial large subunit ribosomal RNA", at positions 1923 to 2605 of the family's 2925-position model. Lineage: Eukaryota; Metazoa; Chordata; Amphibia; Anura; Bufonidae. The record is from RNAcentral.
UUCAACGGCCGCGGUAUCCUAACCGUGCGAAGGUAGCGUAAUCACUUGUUCUUUAAAUGUGGACUAGUAUGAAUGGCAUCACGAAGGUUAUACUGUCUCCUUUUCCUAAUCAGUGAAACUAAUCUCCCCGUGAAGAAGCGAGGAUAAAAAUAUUAGACGAGAAGACCCUAUGGAGCUUUAAACAAAAUAGCACUCGCCACAUGAAUAAAAGUUUCAGAAUUAUUAUUUACCUUAAGCGAACUGACUAUGUGUUUUUGGUUGGGGUGACCGCGGAGCAUAGCACAACCUCCAUGUUGAAAGAAAGUUUUCUAAACUAAGAACCACACCUCUAAGUAUCAAAAAAUUGACAUACAUUGACCCAAUAAAUUUGAACAACGAACCAAGUUACCCUAGGGAUAACAGCGCAAUCCACUUCAAGAGCUCAUAUCGACAAGUGGGUUUACGACCUCGAUGUUGGAUCAGGGUCUCCCAGUGGUGCAGCCGCUACUAAAGGUUCGUUUGUUCAACGAUUAAAACCCUACGUGAUC